Molecule: ribosomal RNA, 411 nt
Filed under: uncultured soil bacterium
Lineage: Bacteria
Description: bacterial SSU rRNA
Rfam family: Bacterial small subunit ribosomal RNA
Source: RNAcentral
AGAUUGAACGCUGGCGGCAUGCCUUACACAUGCAAGUCGAACGGCAGCACGGGAGCAGUCCUGGUGGCGAGUGGCGAACGGGUGAGUAAUACAUCGGAACGUGCCCAGUUGUGGGGGAUAGCCCGGCGAAAGCCGGAUUAAUACCGCAUACGACCUACGGGUGAAAGCGGGGGAUCGCAAGACCUCGCGCUAUUGGAGCGGCCGAUGUCGGAUUAGCUUGUUGGUAGGGUAAAAGCCUACCAAGGCUACGAUCCGUAGCUGGUCUGAGAGGACGACAGCCACGACUAGGACCUAGAGACACGGCCCGACGACUCCGUACGGGAGGCAGCGAGUGGGAAUAGUUGGACAAGUGGGCGCAAGCCUGAUCCAGCAAUGCCGCGUGUGUAGAAGAAGGCCGUUCGGGUUAGUAAA